RNAcentral lists this long non-coding RNA (552 nucleotides) under Rosa chinensis. Its description in RNAcentral is "sRNA RchiOBHm_Chr1g0325041". Lineage: Eukaryota; Viridiplantae; Streptophyta; Magnoliopsida; Rosales; Rosaceae. The record is from RNAcentral.
GAUGAGUACAAAAAGCUAUUUGGAUGCUUAAUGGCAAUACUUGGAAGGUUAUAGGUACCAUGCAAAAAAACAUUACUAUUGUUAUUAUUUUAAAUUUCUUUUUGUAUUUUUACAAGAUAUAUGUGAUGAAACUUCUGCUUUCAAUCGCAGUGUUUUAUCAUUUACGUUAGAAAUCUUUUUUGGAGUUGAGACCAUUCAUUGGGAAACUAUUUUGAAGUCGUAAUGUUUUCUUCAGGAAAAAUCUUGUCUUUCUUGGAUGACACCAAGUAAGAUUUUUGCUAUCUUUGGCUGAGGUCUCACGAGCACAGCUUUAAGGGGGAAAAGGAUGUCAUCAUAUUGUUCCAUGUGGAUGACACCACACAAUGUUUUGCAGUCAGAAACUGAUUAUUUGGUUGAAUGUUGUCCUCGAGGCUCUUUCAAGACCCUUAAUAAGUAGGAUCUAUUUCCUUGUAAUUUUUGUAUCACUUGCAGUAAAGAUACCAAUAUAAUCUUCUUGGGCUUUGCAUCAACUUCUUAUACAACAGUUGGCAAAUUUUUUGAGCUACAUUAUAU